Molecule: ribosomal RNA, 149 nt
Filed under: uncultured bacterium
Lineage: Bacteria
Description: partial 16S ribosomal RNA
Rfam family: Bacterial small subunit ribosomal RNA
Source: RNAcentral
AGGCAGCAGUGGGGAAUAUUGGGCAAUGGGCGCAAGCCUGACCCAGCAACGCCGCGUGAAGGAAGAAGGCUUUCGGGUUGUAAACUUCUUUUGUCAGGGACGAAGCAAGUGACGGUACCUGACGAAUAAGCCACGGCUAACUACGUGCC